This 337-nucleotide ribosomal RNA is filed under the name uncultured Pelotomaculum sp. Its description in RNAcentral is "bacterial SSU rRNA". It matches the Rfam family "Bacterial small subunit ribosomal RNA", at positions 1045 to 1382 of the family's 1533-position model. The record is from RNAcentral. Lineage: Bacteria; Bacillati; Bacillota; Clostridia; Eubacteriales; Desulfotomaculaceae.
AUGGUUGUCGUCAGCUCGUGUCGUGAGAUGUUGGGUUAAGUCCCGCAACGAGCGCAACCCCUACGUUUAGUUGCUAACGCGUGAAGGCGAGCACUCUAGACGAACUGCCGUUGACAAAACGGAGGAAGGUGGGAUGACGUCAAAUCAUCAUGCCCCUUAUGUUCUGGGCUACACACGUGCUACAAUGGCCGGUACAGACGGACGCAAAGCCGCGAGGUGGAGCAAAUCCUAAAAAGCCGGUCUCAGUUCGGAUUGCAGGCUGCAAUUCGCCUGCAUGAAGUCGGAAUCGCUAGUAAUCGCAGGUCAGCAUACUGCGGUGAAUACGUUCCCGGGCCUU